This 28-nucleotide non-coding RNA is filed under the name Mus musculus (house mouse). Lineage: Eukaryota; Metazoa; Chordata; Mammalia; Rodentia; Muridae. The record is from RNAcentral.
UCGGUCAGUCUAUUGGCUUAGGUGCUUC